CAGACGACCUCAAGGUAAACUGACUCCUGAAACAUUACCGAGGUUAGACAACAGACGACCUCAAGGUAAACUGACUCCUGAAACAUUACCGAGGUUAGACAACAGACGACUUGAAGGUAAACUGACUCCUGAAACAUUACCGAGGUUAGACAACAGACGACCUGAAGGUAAACUGACUCCUGAAACAUUACCGAGGUUAGACAACAGACGACCU
Pecten maximus is the source of this 214-nucleotide long non-coding RNA. RefSeq lists it as uncharacterized. The record is from RefSeq and is a predicted model, not a curated record. Lineage: Eukaryota; Metazoa; Mollusca; Bivalvia; Pectinida; Pectinidae. The transcript has 2 exons.